RNAcentral lists this non-coding RNA (264 nucleotides) under Thermincola sp. RNAcentral's name for it is "T-box sequence". It matches the Rfam family "T-box leader". Rfam says of the family: Uncharged tRNA acts as the effector for transcription antitermination of genes in the T-box leader family. Lineage: Bacteria; Bacillati; Bacillota; Clostridia; Eubacteriales; Thermincolaceae. The record is from RNAcentral.
GAAAAUGCGUUGAACGGGAAAAGUACCUUAAAAAGUUGCCUUACAGGGACAAAAGGCCGGAGACUGGAAGCCUUUUGAAGGCAAUUUUAAGGGAAGUUCACCCGGGAGCAGCCGCCUGAAAUUUACAGUAGGGUGAGCCGGCGACUUCAACCGUUAUCUUGAAGCAGGUAUCAGCAGUUAAAUUUUGCUUGUACCUGGUAGAGUGAGUAACCUUGUUGGAUACUAAAUAGGGUGGUACCGCGGAAUAUAACUUUCGUCCCUUGU